This 45-nucleotide non-coding RNA is filed under the name Schistosoma haematobium. Lineage: Eukaryota; Metazoa; Platyhelminthes; Trematoda; Strigeidida; Schistosomatidae. The record is from RNAcentral.
AUCCAGCUGACGAGUCCCAAGCAGGACGAAAUGCGCGUCCUGGAU